This 249-nucleotide ribosomal RNA is filed under the name Triticum aestivum (bread wheat). Its description in RNAcentral is "partial small subunit ribosomal RNA". The record is from RNAcentral. Lineage: Eukaryota; Viridiplantae; Streptophyta; Magnoliopsida; Poales; Poaceae.
AUGCCUCGUAUUGGGGAACCGGGGGCAAAUCCACUUGGAAGAGUCGGGUCUGAGCUCGGAUUUCUUGCUGCCAGCGUUGUGGUGCGCUACAUCCAGCGGGAGUACGUCAGGCCCGUACUAGUGCCGGACUUGCUCCCUCUGCUCAUGCAAUUCGGAGCUGAAGUGACAAGCUUAACUUGCUGGUGCUACGCCUCUAUGUUUUUUGUCCUCGACGCAAUCGACUCGCCAUAUGCAAGGACGUGGCCAUGA